RNAcentral lists this ribosomal RNA (492 nucleotides) under uncultured bacterium. RNAcentral describes it as "partial 16S ribosomal RNA". It matches the Rfam family "Bacterial small subunit ribosomal RNA", at positions 29 to 507 of the family's 1533-position model. The record is from RNAcentral.
AGUGAACGCUGGCGGUAGGCCUAACACAUGCCAGUCGAACGGCAGCACAGUAAGAGCUUGCUCUUACGGGUGGCGAGUGGCGGACGGGUGAGGAAUACAUCGGAAUCUACUUUUUCGUGGGGGAUAACGUAGGGAAACUUACGCUAAUACCGCAUACGACCUACGGGUGAAAGCAGGGGAUCUUCGGACCUUGCGCGAUUGAAUGAGCCGAUGUCGGAUUAGCUAGUUGGCGGGGUAAAGGCCCACCAAGGCGACGAUCCGUAGCUGGUCUGAGAGGAUGAUCAGCCACACUGGAACUGAGACACGGUCCAGACUCCUACGGGAGGCAGCAGUGGGGAAUAUUGGACAAUGGGCGCAAGCCUGAUCCAGCCAUACCGCGUGGGUGAAGAAGGCCUUCGGGUUGUAAAGCCCUUUUGUUGGGAAAGAAAAGAAGCAGGUUAAUACCCCGCUGUUCUGACGGUACCCAAAGAAUAAGCACCGGCUAACUUCGUG